CCAACCAUAGCUCAAUUGGUAGAGCAUCAGACUGUAGCGGUUGCAAUUAUCUGAGGGUCGCUGGUUCGAUUCCGGCUGGUUGGA
Molecule: transfer RNA, 84 nt
Filed under: Fonticula alba
Lineage: Eukaryota; Rotosphaerida; Fonticulaceae
Rfam family: tRNA
About the family: Transfer RNA (tRNA) molecules are approximately 80 nucleotides in length. Their secondary structure includes four short double-helical elements and three loops (D, anti-codon, and T loops).
Source: Rfam by way of RNAcentral